UCGAUUUACAACUCCCAACCCUUCUUGAACAUACCUACUGUUGCUUCGGCGGACUCGCCCCGACGUCCGGACGGCCUCGCGCCGCCCGCGGCCCGGACCCAGGCGGCCGCCGGAGACCCCCAAACUCUGUAUCAUGAGCAUCUUCUGAAUCCGCCGCAAGGCAAAACAAAUGAAUCAAAACUUUCAACAACGGAUCUCUUGGUUCUGGCAUCGAUGAAGAACGCAGCGAAAUGCGAUAAGUAAUGUGAAUUGCAGAAUUCAGUGAAUCAUCGAAUCUUUGAACGCACAUUGCGCCCGCCAGCAUUCUGGCGGGCAUGCCUGUUCGAGCGUCAUUUCAACCCUCGACUUCCCUGGAAAUCGGCGUUGGGGAACGGCAGCAUACCGCCGGCCCCGAAAUGGAGUGGCGGCCCGUCCGCGGCGACCUCUGCGUAGUAAUCCAACUCGCACCGGAACCCCGACGCGGCCACGCCGUAAAACACCCAA
Molecule: ribosomal RNA, 483 nt
Filed under: Akanthomyces attenuatus
Lineage: Eukaryota; Fungi; Ascomycota; Sordariomycetes; Hypocreales; Cordycipitaceae
Description: eukaryotic LSU rRNA
Rfam family: 5.8S ribosomal RNA (bases 179-332)
Source: RNAcentral